GAUGAACGCUAGCGGCAGGCUUAAUACAUGCAAGUCGAGGGGCAGCACAGGUAGCAAUACUGGGUGGCGACCGGCAAACGGGUGCGGAACACGUACACAACUUACCUUUGAGUGGGGGAUAGCCCAGGGAAACUUGGAUUAAUACCCCAUAAAACAGGGGGCCCGCAUGGGCAUAUUGUUAAAGAUUUAUCGCUUUAAGAUGGGUGUGCGUAUGAUUAGGUAGUUGGUAGGGUAAAGGCCUACCAAGCCGACUAUCAUUAACUGGUGUGAGCGCACGACCAGUCGCACGGGCACUGGGACACGGUCCCGACUCCUACGGGAGGCAGCAGUAAGGAAUAUUGGUCAAUGGACGGAAGUCUGAACCAGCCAUGCCGCGUGAAGGAUGAAGGUCCUCUGGAUUGUAAACUUCUUUUAUAGGGGGCGAAAAAGGGCCUUUUUAGGUCAACUGACGGUACCCCAUGAAUAAGCACCGGCUAACUCCGUGCCAGCCGCCGCCGUAA
Molecule: ribosomal RNA, 500 nt
Filed under: uncultured bacterium
Lineage: Bacteria
Description: partial 16S ribosomal RNA
Rfam family: Bacterial small subunit ribosomal RNA
Source: RNAcentral